UUUCCGUAGGUGAACCUGCGGAAGGAUCAUUACAGUAUUCUUUUGCCAGCGCUUAACUGCGCGGCGAAAAACCUUACACACAGUGUCUUUUUGAUACAGAACUCUUGCUUUGGUUUGGCCUAGAGAUAGGUUGGGCCAGAGGUUUAACAAAACACAAUUUAAUUAUUUUUAUUGAUAGUCAAAUUUUGAAUUAAUCUUCAAAACUUUCAACAACGGAUCUCUUGGUUCUC
RNAcentral lists this unclassified non-coding RNA (230 nucleotides) under root metagenome. RNAcentral describes it as "partial contains small subunit ribosomal RNA, internal transcribed spacer 1, and 5.8S ribosomal RNA". The record is from RNAcentral.